Gymnogyps californianus (California condor) is the source of this 3133-nucleotide long non-coding RNA. RefSeq lists it as uncharacterized. The record is from RefSeq and is a predicted model, not a curated record. Lineage: Eukaryota; Metazoa; Chordata; Aves; Accipitriformes; Cathartidae. The transcript has 5 exons.
UCCUUAUUAAAGAAGAUACAAGACCCAGAAAGAUUCACAUAUGCUUAGCUCCUUGGAGAGGAUGAAAUAGGAACAAGAUAAGUGGAAAGAUUUCUUUAUCAAACUAAGUAACAGCCAGACUCAAAUUAAGAAUUGGAAAUUAUUUUCUAGAAACUUGCUGCUGUGAGCUGUUGACAGUCUGGACCCACCAGCUCCCUGCUCAUGGCCAGUAAUGGCAGCAGAAAAUUUAGAAUAAUUGGCGUGAAUGAAAUGAAGAAAGUUCCAACCAAUUGCCAGAGAAAAAUGGAAGAGCACAUGUGCCUUUUCAGUCUGCAUUAUUUCAGACUCAUUUAUUUUCUUGAUAUAACAUUUCUAUUUUAUUUCAUGGUAACAAGAAUUCUCCUUCCUUCCUCUCCUUACAAUUUAUAGUUAAUACUAAAGUUAUAAUUACACUUCUUUUAAAUGCUGCUGGACAAAUCUUAUAGAUUUGGAUGAGAAUCAAAUACAAUUAUUGUUGAAUUCAGUCUGUGGGAGCAGAUAAGGUUUUAUAAUAUAUACUUUACUGAUGACACAAACUUGACUUUUUUCAGUGCUAAUUGGAGUUGACCACAGCUAGUUGGUCAAAAGGAGCACUGUUUCUCACCAUUUUCAGGAACAGGAAUCUAUUCCUUAUUUGCUAAGAGAUGAAGAUUACAACAAAGCGAUAGGUCUGGAAUACUGUCCUAUGUGCAAUAAAUUUGUACAAGAGAACUACAGAGCUAUGAAAAAGCUUUUAUGGAAGCCCUGAAUUUAGUUUCUGUGUUCUCAGCCAUUCCUAGUGUCUGGGAUACAUUUAAAAACAGUAUAUAUCUUCACCCUUCUAUUGGUUUAAGAAAUGCUUCUGUCCGAAAGUCUGUAUAUGACAUGGAAAGCAUGCAUUUCCUUCACAGUCAUAACAGCAGGAAGUCAUUUACAUGGUUGUUCCUGCUAGGGUGUUCAGUAUUAUUUUGGACAUGUAAAGGAGUCAUCUGGUUACGUGCAAUUUUGUUGAUACUGAUGGAACAUGCCCUUUUCUGAGACAGAUUAUGCCUUCUUGCUUGUACACAGAUUAUGCUUGCUUGCUUGCAAUGUCCCCUCAGUCUUCCCUUGGUGUAGUUUCACAGUAUUACUCUAAUCGGGAACCUUUCAUUUUGCUCCUUGCAGUGCUGAGAAAUGCAUAUAUUCAAAUUUAACAUGGCAGCUUAGUUACCUGCAUGUUGCUAACAUUUUAGGAUAUAGCCCAUAGGCCUGUCUGAACACUGAGGACAAUAUAGGGAAGAAAAUGCAGGUGUGUGGAGUAGACAACUGGAUACUUUAAAUGGGAAGAACAGGGAAUGACCAGCAAUUCAAGUUAAGGAACAUACAAAAGGUCACAGUAAUAAAGUUUACUGCCAUCUUUCAGAGGUAAAUGAGGCACUAAAAUGCUGGCUCCUCUCUCUUGUGGCAAAGAUAGAAACAAAUGUAGGAUGUGCCCUUUCUUGUUCUCGUUUAUUUAACAUGAACAACACAAGCUUAUUUCAUUUUCACCUUCUAAACAUGUACUUAUUGGUGGCUCUUUUUAAAAGAAAAAAUUAGUAUAAAACAAUUCAGCUGUCUGUCCUUCAAACUACUAAACUGCUAAGUAAAGACAAGGGAAAGCUGCUUAGAUUUAAGUAUAUUCAUGAAGGAAAAGCUAAAGAAAUCUGGGACUAGGAAGCUGGCUAAAGGAGAACAGCACUUAGUUAAAUGCUCAUACGGUUCCCAUAGAUUAUUAAAAAGCAUAUGGCUUUGUGAGCUAACUGUCUGGGUCCUGUGGGUUUGUGCUAUUAAGCAGAAGUGUCUUGGGAAAGGGAAGGGAAACUGAAGGCUCUUUUCCCCAGACUGCAACUGCCUGCCACUGAGCCAAGCUUGAUAUUUAUUCAAUCUGAGUAUUGGCUUGGAUUUCUGAAAAGGAAAUUUUGGAAGCCUGCCUCGUUCAUCAAAAAUAAUUUAAGGUGCCACCACAGAGGCAAGAGAGCUUCUCAUUAUUGUUUCGUGUAUUUUAUGAUGUUGGCACUCUUCCUGAAAUAAUUUGAGAAUUGCAGAUAUAAUAAUAUUUUGGGUUGUAGAAAAAUAGAUCUCAACAAUGAAAUUCAAUGAAUUUUAUCUAGGUUUUGGUAAUGUGCCUCUUCCUCAGUAAAUACAACUUUUUCUGGAAACUAAAUCCUUACUCUGAACAAUAGCAUCAUUAUGUCAAGCACUUCUGUACAAAACUGAAGUAUAGCAAUUAGCAAGAAAUUAAAAAAAUAAUGUGAGUGCUCUUAUGAAAUUCUAUGGACUAUCAGCAAAGGACUUUAAAAGCACAACCUACUGAACUACAGAUUCUUAAAAUAAACAACUUGAACAUUUCUGUGUGACAAAAGCCAUUUUUUGUUCCCUGCAGACAUUCUCCAACUGAGCUUGCCAGUGAGAACAGCAAGUCUGUUCCAGUGCUUGAUAACCCUUUUGGUGAAGAAAUUUUUCCUAAUAUCCAGUCUAAACCUCCCCUGGAGCAACUUGAGACCAUUUCCUCUCGUCCUAUCAGUUGUUACUUGGGAAAAGAGACCAAUACCCACCUCGCUACAACCUCCUUUCAGGUCUGUUCUUUGCCAUCUUACAUGUUAGAGGGCCUUUGGAACAUCAAACUAUUCUUACCGGAUUCAGUCUGACAAAGUUGAAACUUCGUUGUCAUCAUCAAGGAUCCAAACUGCAUCACAGCUGAAGUUGAGUUUAUAGUUUUCAUCUUAUCAUCAAAACAUCAAGCAUGCUGCACUUCAGUCACUCUGUAACUGUGAUAGCCGAGGGAGGGUGUCUUUUUAACCAAAAAUAGCAAACAGAUUGGUUUUGAUAUACCACUGGAGCUGGAAUAAUUCAUUAAAGAGUGAAUCUGUUGGCCUCAAACACGUAGGAUCUACCUAGUGUAGUGUGGCAGAGUGUCUAAUUGUUUUACCUGCGUGAGCAUGGAGAAGAUAUGAUGAAGUGGGAUGGAAAACCUACCUCGGUCCUAGAUGCACGGCAGAGUACCGGCCACAGUUUGCUUUCACUUGGAGGGGCGUCCAGUACACCUGGAAUCGACUGCCCAGGGGUGGAAACACAGCCCCACCAUUUGCCAUAGCCUAAUUCAGACUGCACUGGAACA